Musca domestica (house fly) is the source of this 24453-nucleotide long non-coding RNA. RefSeq lists it as uncharacterized. The record is from RefSeq and is a predicted model, not a curated record. Lineage: Eukaryota; Metazoa; Arthropoda; Insecta; Diptera; Muscidae. The transcript has 2 exons.
AAUGCCGACGUUACCAAGAUGUGCCGACAGAUUUUGUUGGACCCUAGUCCAACACAGUUUCACGAAUAUUAUUUAGAAAAUUUUCGUGAAAUCCUAUUGAGGAUUAUGAGUGGUUUACGGUAACAUUUGGGGUUAAUUUAGCACGCUUCCUAGCAUUUAGAACUCUCAUUCAAUUUGCAGAAGAUACAAAAGACACAUCCACUAGCACCGAAAAUAAUUUUUAUGACAUUAUUUUCAAUCGAAGAUACCAUAAAGUCUCACAAGAAGUUAGUAGCCGCUAUGAAAAUUGCCAAAUUGUUGUAACUGCCAAACUAGUCAAGGCUUGAUAAGAUUAACUGUUUUUUUUGUUUGAAAAUAAUUUUUUUUUUAAUUUUUACACGGUUUUUGUAAUUGAGGCGCAAAGUAAUGAAUAAUACUGAAAAAAUCCGCCGGAGGAAAUUUAGAGAUGCUUUGGGCCCCUUGUGCUACCACAGUGCCGUGAGAAUAUUUUAAUAAUAAAUACCUGUGCUUACUCUUAAAUAAUAAAAACGUUAUAACAUUUCAAAAUAUUUACAUUUUUGCACAGAAUGUCUUUUUGAGUUUUUUUGUUUUAUUUUGUGCUUCAAUUUAUCAUUCGUAAUGCCAGAUUGUUUAGUUUUCAUUAUGAAUAACGUUUGUUGGAAGAAAAAACUGGGUUUCAAGAAAAAAAUGACGUGGCAAAACUUUGUUAACAAUUGGCAAUUGGGUUAAUUUUUUUAAUUAUAUAAAUAAAAAGAAAAAAAUGUAAAUUUAAAUGUGUAUUUAUUUACCUUGAAACUUUCAAAUACUUGAUAUCCGCGCUAUCAGCCAAAGUGAUUUUAAUUCGCACUUACAAAACAAAUACAAUUUCACUUGCAAAAUCCAAAGUGGUUUCAAACCAAAAAAAAUGCGAUUUUCGCUUUCUAAGUACGGAAUUAAAUUCACUUUGGGUGAUAGCGCGCAUAUUAUAUUACACUACAAACAAACAAUACAUAAUUGCGAAAUUUUUUCAUCCCGUUGCAACUAGUUAUUGAUGGUAAUUGUCAAUUUGUAAGCAUUUUCCCUCGCAGUACAUUUUUUAAACGACUCUACGUUUUGAACAAACAUAGUAUGUUUUAUAUGUCUCAAUGUUAGAAUUUAUUCAGUCCAUUGCAUUUAUAACAAAUGCCGAUAGAAAUAAACUGUUUAGCAUCACGUCUGGUAUAUUCAAAAAAUUUAAUAGCUUUUAGGUGAGUGUACAUAACUAGCUUGGCCUCAAAGGAGAGUGUCACAGUUCGCCAGAUUUAGACAUUGGGUCAUCCGGUCUGAUAAAUGACUUGACUUAGCAACCCGGCAUUUCUCCUAGCUCAGACUAUCUCCCGAUAAUCGUCUCCAUCAGUAGAUCGCCCGAUUUCAUAACCUCUGAACGCCGCACUUUCCUUAACCAUUGGAAAGCCCAUGACUCAAUAAGAAAGAUUGCUCAACUUCAAAAAAGAAUACCCAUCUGUAAUUAUUUGUCACAUUUUCUGUAAUUUUCCUUGUCACAUUUCUCUACAUAAAAACAGGUUCCCAUCUCUGAUUUGUGUAUGUACAAUGGAUUUAUAAAUACAAAUUUUGACAUUGAGAUGUUGUCAAAUGAAUAAUUUUUGAAAAAAUUGUAAACAUAUGCUUGCAUGACUUUACCUCCUUGUUUCUACGAUGCUCAACUUCAAAGAAACUAAAAAAAUGAACUUUGUGCUGGAGCCUUAUAGUGUCAAAAUGACUUUUAAAUAUGCAAUAGAUGGUUUGGUUUAUUUUCCAUUUUUCACAAAAUUCUUAUAUUGGGAAACCCGUGAAACAAAAAUGGAAUUUUGGGGUUAUUCCACAAGAUUGGAUCUAAAUAGUAGGACAAUAUUGCUUUAUCCCAAUAUUGUACAAUGUCCUGCCCAAUUACAUCGAAAUUAUGCAUUUAUUUUGCAACCGAAUUUGAAAUAAUUUCAAAUUAACGGAAAUGAUAUUUAGGGACAUCGCCGCUCGCUAUAUACCUGCUGGUCGAAUGCCCGAAGUAAGACCAAAUUUCUUGAGCUCCGGCGUACUAACCCUACUGAUCCCAGACAGUGGAAGUCCGCAGAUUGAUACAGGAACAUGAUAGGACAGCAGUCGCAUUUAACGACGUAACGGUGACUGAUCCGAAGAGGUUCGCUGGCCAUUUUAAACGCCAAUUUGUCGAGCAGCCCGAGAGUGAUAGAGCGAGGCUAGGAGUACUGCAGCGUAUAAGAGCUCUUUCCGCCGAGGAUAUACCUGAAUAGUUUACGAUGGGUGAUGUUGCGAAUGUCUUCCGAAACGCUAAGUCAUCUAAAGUCAUGUUGAAGCAACUGGAUACACCGGGAGUUGAGUAUAUUGAGUGAUAAAUUGAAAAGUAGGAACAAGGUCCUUAAGACGCUAGCCGGCAAGGUCCUCCGGGGUUCGGAUAAGGAAACCUUGUUGACCUUUUAUAAAGCGAUAUGUCGUUCUGUUGUUAGCUAUGCUGCUGCAGUGUGGUCCGAGUGCAAUGCAGCGGUAAAGUAUUCAGACCUGCCAGAAUGCCGCCCUGAGAACUGCAACAGGGUUCCUCCUCAUGACUCCUGUGGACCAUUUACAUGAGGAGACGAAGUGUUUUCGUUGCAGUACCUGCUUGGGUGUUAUCGUGGGUCAUACUAACCAACAUAUAUGGGGCAGAACUCCCCAACCAGGCGUGUCAGCAAGGACCAGCAUGAGUCUUUCCCUAUUGGAUCUGAUAUUUGCAAAUGCUAGACAUUGUUUUCAUCAUCUUCCCCGUAUGCCCUGUAUAUGCUGUUAUCUGUACAGAUAAGCUUGUAGGCCCAGGUGACCCGUUACAUCCCAGUUACCCCACUAAUCUACUACUGAUGCGUAUGUUAGAACAAGUCUAACUACGCUUUUGAAUAUCCAGUGCGUCAUCCUUGAAUUAAAACUCGUCUGCAUAACAGACUGGUUCAAAUCCUUUGUUGGUUAAAUUCCGUAAAGACUGUUUAUGGAAGUGUAACAUAAGGUGUGUCUGCUUACUUUUCCUGCAGGAAUUGUCCAGCAACAUCUUUCUGAGAGAGUAAGGUAGUUUUAUUAUCUUUUGCAAGGAAAUUGCGAAAAGUAAACAGACAAGCUUCCUGCAGAAGCUUGCAACUAAUCAGCUGAUUUGUCAAAACAAACCAAUUUGUCCCCCAUUAAAAGAAUUAAACGAAAGGAACCACCACCAAUUUCACAAGUUUUAUAAAUAACAAGUAAGCUAAGGAUAUAGUCGUGCGCGGCCGACUAUGUGAUACCCUACAACACUACAAUAUGUUAGAAGCCCCCUCAUAUCCAAAUCCAUUUUGGAAGAUUUUUUCAAUAUUUACGCACUCCGUCGUGCUGUUAGUUUUUGUGGUCCAUUUUACGGCUAAAUAUAAUCCAAUGGUCAUCCAAAAUGCUAGAAUUCUUCACUGUGCUUAACUAUCUUCUCAGGCGUGCCGAUUGGCUUCAAUUGUGUUAUCAUGAUUUUUUUCUGUUUUUGUUUCAUUUGAACCCAUAUAUAUUUUGCGAUCAUCUCCAAAAGCAAUUUGGCUAUAGUCGUCGACGAAAUCAGCAUAAAAAGCCAGAAGUUCGCCUUUUGGGUAUUUCGGAUAUCGCCUGUAAGUAAUGUUAGUAUUUUUGCACACAAAAGUAGUGGUCCAUUAUAACUGCUGUCUUAAAUUCUAACUUCAUGCAAGAUUUCGUGUCCUUUGGUUUCUAUGUGUGACCUUUAUAACAUUUGCAAAAUCAGGAACAUUUUGAGUUGCUGGCCCAUUUCAACCCCUAAAUAUAUUGCGGACAUAUUUGAAAACAAUAGGCUUAGCCCUUCUGAGCCUAACCCUACCUUUGUCAAAAAUUUCGUGAGGAUCGAAUGAUAAUUGCAAUCUGUGUAUACAUAAUAACCCGAUGACCAUCAAAAUUGGAAGGCAUCUGCCCAGCCCAAAGCUCUAGCCCCAUGCUAACUUUUGCUUCGAUUGGUCUAUAAUUGUGACCUGUAGAGCAACUGCAAAAUUUUUGCAUCAUUUUUCAGUUUUUGGUCCAUUUCAACCCCUUAAUAUUGUGCGAUCAUCUCCAAAAGAAAUAGGGUUCUAUUCUGAUUAACCCCACCUACAUUUUAAAUUUCGUGAAGAUCGGGCUAUAAUUGCGACCUGUAGAGUGAUUACCAAUUAACAUGGACAGACGGACGGACGGACAUACAUAGCUAGAUCGACUCAGCUCGGCGAGAUAGGAAGAUCCAUAUAUACUUUCCUAUGUGGGAAAUCAAUAUUUCGUGGUGUUACAUAAUUUUUGGCCCAAUCAAACUUAUAAUACCCCCAACACAAAGUGUUGUAGGGUAUAAAAAGGAAAUUGACAAUAAAAUAAAAAUAUGAGCAAUAAAAGGAAGAUAGAUAUGAUGUGUUCCGCGGAAUCUUUUAAACCUGUUGCUAAUGGCAUUUGUCUAAAAAUGCUGGAAAAAGUCUUUUACUUUCUUAUUACAUAUUAAUAUUUACUUUUUUCAUAUUUUGUAAAGUUGUUCUCCAAAAACAAUUAGUCUUGCUAAUUCCAAAACAAUAUUUUCAAAUUAAAAUCACAAAAAGAAAUUAAUAAACAAUAGAAAACAUCUGAUUGAAUGACGAUGAAUGAGAAGAAGAAGAGUUGCAAGAGAUUGCAAGAAGAAAUUUGUCCAGCAAGAAUUUGCAAACUCUCACUGAAAGAACUGUCAAAAUUUCUCUCUCCAACCGCUCUCUUUUGCAGAACUUUCGGGUUAACAGACGACUUCCAGUAACAAUUUGUAACAAUUGUUACAAAUUUUAGGGUAACCAUACACACCUAUAGUGAAUGAUGGCAACCCCAAAAAAAAAUGUCAAUUGACGUUUGCUGACAUUUCAUAAUCCUCGAUCUCUUCCUUUUGUGACUAGCUUUGAGUAAACAAGUAUUCUUUAACAUUAAAAUUGUAAUUUUUUAUUUUUAAGACAUAAAUAUUAUUCAAUAAAUGAAUUCCAAAUAAUAAAAGUUAUGUUAAUUGGCGACGAGGAUGAAACAUCGACUGGAGUACAAAGUGAAACAGAGGAAAGUAAGAUGGCUUCAAAAUACGGCGAUUUGACAACAGUUUAAUGUGGCUGCGGGAAAUUGGCAGAUUUAUCUAAAACAGAUGAUUUUUUUUUCAUGGCAAAUGGUAUAGCGGACGAGGAUGCAAAAAAGGCGAUAUUUUUAUCUUCUUGUGGGCCAGAUACCUACGUACUGUUGAAAUCCAUAGCCACUCCAGAUAACGUUAUGGACAAAACAUUCUCGUUUAAAAGAGCCGUGGAAUUGUUAUCCAAACAUUUUUGCCCGCCACCAAACCAGAUUAUACAGCAUUUCCAGUUUUACCGCAGAGACCAGAAAGAGGGAGAGACGGUUCCCGAAUUUUUGACCGCUUUAAGAAAUUUGGGCCAAUAUUGUGAAUUCACAGAUUUGGGUGUAAUGCUGCGUGACGGAUUGGUGUGUGGAUUAAGAGAUAGAUGAGAGUCUACAGAAAUGAUUGUUGUCAAAUGAUAAACUAACACUCAAAAUUGCACAGGAAGAAGCCAUUGCCAGUGAAGAGGCCCAGACGAAUUUAGCCGCAUUGAAAACACCAGUUAACCAGCAAAAGAUAAACAGAAUUGGUAACGGCAGAGAAAAAAAGAGUAAAGCAAAAAAUCAAUCCAGAGAUUGUUUUAGAUAUGGGGGUACACAUUCGCCAGACCAGUGCCGGUUUAAAGAAGAUUACCACUUCUGCAAAGAACGUGGAGAUAUUGAAAAGGCGUGUAUCACCAAAGCCAGGUCGUCCAGGAAAAAACUCUGGAGGAGCAAUGGGUAAGAAUAAUGUUAACCAGAUCAAAAUACCCCCGAAUGACGGAAACCAGGACUACAUUUUGUCAAUGAGUGGAGUAAAUGGCAUAUCGAUCCGCAGAGAAGUGAAAAUUUGUGAAAAAUCUAUUGAGGUGGAUAUUGACUCUGGUGCCAGUCACUCAAUUAUGAGUGAAGAUAAAUUUUAUAAGAAGUUCCGUAACCUAAAGUUACAUCCCAGUAAAACACAUCUAAAAGCAUGGGGCACAGAAAAUAAUUGCCAAAUUUGUGGCGAAGAACGUGUUCCAGUUUCUUUGGGUGCUAUUAACUGGAAGCUGAUACUGGUACGUGGAAGAGGUCCAUCCUUAAUUGAAAGAAAUUGGUUUGAGUAAUUGGGAAUUUCCAUAAUUAGUCCAGUGCACAGCAUCGAAGGUGGGUUACCAGAAGAGGUAACUGAAUUCAACACAAUAUUCGAUUCAAUGGAGGAGGAUGGUGUGCUACGUUCAUUGACGAAUAGCGUAUGGGCUACUCCAAUAGUUCCAGUUUUAAAACCAGAUAAUACCAUACGCAUUUUUGGUGAUUAUUAAUGUACGGUAAACCAGAUGAUUUGUAAAGAAACAUCCCCUGCCAACCAACAUGGAAGUGCUAACAACUUUAGCGAAUUGUAAAUGGUUUUUCAGAUUGGGUUUAGAUAGAGCGUACACUCAGGUGAAAGUAGGCGAUGAAUCAGCAAAAAUUUUAACCAUUAACACACAUCGUGGAUUGUUUGAGGUUACCAGAUUACCGUUCGGUAUAUCCACAGCACCAAGUAUUUUUCAACGUAUGAUGGAAGGCCUGUUAAGUGGCAUAGAUGGCGUUGUGGUAUAUCUUGAUGAUAUUUUGAUUGGUGGUAAGACGGUUCAGGAGAUGUGGGACCGAACAAAAGUUGUUCUUCGACGCAUACAAGAUACCGGUUUAAAAUUAAAAAGAAGUAAAUGUGUUUUUUCUGUUCAAGAGCUAUGCCUUUUGGAGUUCAAGGUAAAUCGAGAUGGUGUGAAACCAACAGAUGAAAAGAUCAGGGCAAUUUAUCAAGCACCUGAACCAACCGACAAACAACAACUGCAAUCAUUCCUGGGAUUAGUAACAUUUUACGAACGAUUUUUCCGCAACAAGUUAAAUGUGUUGGAGCCGCAUUAUCGUCUUUUGCAAAAGGAUGCCAGCAAGUUUUGAUCAGGUAAAGAAAAAUCUUCAAUCUGAAAAUCUUUUGGUUCGUUAUUCCGCAGAAUUGCCAUUGAUUUUGAGUGGUGAUGCUUCACCAUACGGAGUGGGGCAGUCUUAGCUCACGUCAUACCAGUCUUAGCUCACGUCAUGCCAAUUGCUUUUGGGUGCCGGACUCUCCAAUCAGCUGAAAAGAACUCUACCCAGUUAGACAAGAAGGCACUUGCGAUUAUUUUUGGCUAGAAGAAGUUUAACCAGUUUUUGAGUUGAAGAGAAUUUACGAUCUUAACUGAUCACAAACCGUUGUUGGGACUGUUUAAUCCAGUGAAACCCAUAUCUGAGCAUAUGUCACCUAGGAUGUUGAGAUGGUGGUUGAUGCUAGGGGCAUACCAAUACAACAUAAAAUAUAGAGAAGGGAAGAAAAACAAAAAUGCAGAUGCAUUAAGCAGGCUACCAUUUAAAGAAGUAGGUGGAACAAUUCCGAAUAUUCCUGAAAUUUUAUAUUGUACAGAAGGCAAAGACCAGUUCUUAAUAAUGUUUGCCAUUGUUUGCUUUUGGGUACAAGAGUAAUAAUACCCACAAUUUUCGUUCCCGUAUUUUGAAUAUGUUGCAUGAAGUACACCAAGGUAUGUCAGCCAUGAAAGCUACCGCCAGAAGUUAUUUUUGGUGGCCAGGUCUCAAUAAGGACAUCGGGAUGACGGCGAAAAAAUGUGAGAAAUGUUCCCAACAAAAUAAACACCCUCCAGCGGCAGAAUCAAAACCAUUUAGACCGUGGUCGAGAGGCAUGCGGCGAAUUGCUUCGCUCCUCUUUUCAGCCUAACCUAACCUACAUGCAGGUCCAGUUUUACAAUAAGAUAUUACACAUUUAUAAUGCCGACGUUACCAAGAUGUGCCGACAGAUUUUGUUGGACCCUAGUCCAACACAGUUUCACGAAUAUUAUUUAGAAAAUUUUCGUGAAAUCCUAUUGAGGAUUAUGAGUGGUUUACGGUAACAUUUGGGGUUAAUUUAGCACGCUUCCUAGCAUUUAGAACUCUCAUUCAAUUUGCAGAAGAUACAAAAGACACAUCCACUAGCACCGAAAAUAAUUUUUAUGACAUUAUUUUCAAUCGAAGAUACCAUAAAGUCUCACAAGAAGUUAGUAGCCGCUAUGAAAAUUGCCAAAUUGUUGUAACUGCCAAACUAGUCAAGGCUUGAUAAGAUUAACUGUUUUUUUUGUUUGAAAAUAAUUUUUUUUUUAAUUUUUACACGGUUUUUGUAAUUGAGGCGCAAAGUAAUGAAUAAUACUGAAAAAAUCCGCCGGAGGAAAUUUAGAGAUGCUUUGGGCCCCUUGUGCUACCACAGUGCCGUGAGAAUAUUUUAAUAAUAAAUACCUGUGCUUACUCUUAAAUAAUAAAAACGUUAUAACAUUUCAAAAUAUUUACAUUUUUGCACAGAAUGUCUUUUUGAGUUUUUUUGUUUUAUUUUGUGCUUCAAUUUAUCAUUCGUAAUGCCAGAUUGUUUAGUUUUCAUUAUGAAUAACGUUUGUUGGAAGAAAAAACUGGGUUUCAAGAAAAAAAUGACGUGGCAAAACUUUGUUAACAAUUGGCAAUUGGGUUAAUUUUUUUAAUUAUAUAAAUAAAAAGAAAAAAAUGUAAAUUUAAAUGUGUAUUUAUUUACCUUGAAACUUUCAAAUACUUGAUAUCCGCGCUAUCAGCCAAAGUGAUUUUAAUUCGCACUUACAAAACAAAUACAAUUUCACUUGCAAAAUCCAAAGUGGUUUCAAACCAAAAAAAAUGCGAUUUUCGCUUUCUAAGUACGGAAUUAAAUUCACUUUGGGUGAUAGCGCGCAUAUUAUAUUACACUACAAACAAACAAUACAUAAUUGCGAAAUUUUUUCAUCCCGUUGCAACUAGUUAUUGAUGGUAAUUGUCAAUUUGUAAGCAUUUUCCCUCGCAGUACAUUUUUUAAACGACUCUACGUUUUGAACAAACAUAGUAUGUUUUAUAUGUCUCAAUGUUAGAAUUUAUUCAGUCCAUUGCAUUUAUAACAAAUGCCGAUAGAAAUAAACUGUUUAGCAUCACGUCUGGUAUAUUCAAAAAAUUUAAUAGCUUUUAGGUGAGUGUACAUAACUAGCUUGGCCUCAAAGGAGAGUGUCACAGUUCGCCAGAUUUAGACAUUGGGUCAUCCGGUCUGAUAAAUGACUUGACUUAGCAACCCGGCAUUUCUCCUAGCUCAGACUAUCUCCCGAUAAUCGUCUCCAUCAGUAGAUCGCCCGAUUUCAUAACCUCUGAACGCCGCACUUUCCUUAACCAUUGGAAAGCCCAUGACUCAAUAAGAAAGAUUGCUCAACUUCAAAAAAGAAUACCCAUCUGUAAUUAUUUGUCACAUUUUCUGUAAUUUUCCUUGUCACAUUUCUCUACAUAAAAACAGGUUCCCAUCUCUGAUUUGUGUAUGUACAAUGGAUUUAUAAAUACAAAUUUUGACAUUGAGAUGUUGUCAAAUGAAUAAUUUUUGAAAAAAUUGUAAACAUAUGCUUGCAUGACUUUACCUCCUUGUUUCUACGAUGCUCAACUUCAAAGAAACUAAAAAAAUGAACUUUGUGCUGGAGCCUUAUAGUGUCAAAAUGACUUUUAAAUAUGCAAUAGAUGGUUUGGUUUAUUUUCCAUUUUUCACAAAAUUCUUAUAUUGGGAAACCCGUGAAACAAAAAUGGAAUUUUGGGGUUAUUCCACAAGAUUGGAUCUAAAUAGUAGGACAAUAUUGCUUUAUCCCAAUAUUGUACAAUGUCCUGCCCAAUUACAUCGAAAUUAUGCAUUUAUUUUGCAACCGAAUUUGAAAUAAUUUCAAAUUAACGGAAAUGAUAUUUAGGGACAUCGCCGCUCGCUAUAUACCUGCUGGUCGAAUGCCCGAAGUAAGACCAAAUUUCUUGAGCUCCGGCGUACUAACCCUACUGAUCCCAGACAGUGGAAGUCCGCAGAUUGAUACAGGAACAUGAUAGGACAGCAGUCGCAUUUAACGACGUAACGGUGACUGAUCCGAAGAGGUUCGCUGGCCAUUUUAAACGCCAAUUUGUCGAGCAGCCCGAGAGUGAUAGAGCGAGGCUAGGAGUACUGCAGCGUAUAAGAGCUCUUUCCGCCGAGGAUAUACCUGAAUAGUUUACGAUGGGUGAUGUUGCGAAUGUCUUCCGAAACGCUAAGUCAUCUAAAGUCAUGUUGAAGCAACUGGAUACACCGGGAGUUGAGUAUAUUGAGUGAUAAAUUGAAAAGUAGGAACAAGGUCCUUAAGACGCUAGCCGGCAAGGUCCUCCGGGGUUCGGAUAAGGAAACCUUGUUGACCUUUUAUAAAGCGAUAUGUCGUUCUGUUGUUAGCUAUGCUGCUGCAGUGUGGUCCGAGUGCAAUGCAGCGGUAAAGUAUUCAGACCUGCCAGAAUGCCGCCCUGAGAACUGCAACAGGGUUCCUCCUCAUGACUCCUGUGGACCAUUUACAUGAGGAGACGAAGUGUUUUCGUUGCAGUACCUGCUUGGGUGUUAUCGUGGGUCAUACUAACCAACAUAUAUGGGGCAGAACUCCCCAACCAGGCGUGUCAGCAAGGACCAGCAUGAGUCUUUCCCUAUUGGAUCUGAUAUUUGCAAAUGCUAGACAUUGUUUUCAUCAUCUUCCCCGUAUGCCCUGUAUAUGCUGUUAUCUGUACAGAUAAGCUUGUAGGCCCAGGUGACCCGUUACAUCCCAGUUACCCCACUAAUCUACUACUGAUGCGUAUGUUAGAACAAGUCUAACUACGCUUUUGAAUAUCCAGUGCGUCAUCCUUGAAUUAAAACUCGUCUGCAUAACAGACUGGUUCAAAUCCUUUGUUGGUUAAAUUCCGUAAAGACUGUUUAUGGAAGUGUAACAUAAGGUGUGUCUGCUUACUUUUCCUGCAGGAAUUGUCCAGCAACAUCUUUCUGAGAGAGUAAGGUAGUUUUAUUAUCUUUUGCAAGGAAAUUGCGAAAAGUAAACAGACAAGCUUCCUGCAGAAGCUUGCAACUAAUCAGCUGAUUUGUCAAAACAAACCAAUUUGUCCCCCAUUAAAAGAAUUAAACGAAAGGAACCACCACCAAUUUCACAAGUUUUAUAAAUAACAAGUAAGCUAAGGAUAUAGUCGUGCGCGGCCGACUAUGUGAUACCCUACAACACUACAAUAUGUUAGAAGCCCCCUCAUAUCCAAAUCCAUUUUGGAAGAUUUUUUCAAUAUUUACGCACUCCGUCGUGCUGUUAGUUUUUGUGGUCCAUUUUACGGCUAAAUAUAAUCCAAUGGUCAUCCAAAAUGCUAGAAUUCUUCACUGUGCUUAACUAUCUUCUCAGGCGUGCCGAUUGGCUUCAAUUGUGUUAUCAUGAUUUUUUUCUGUUUUUGUUUCAUUUGAACCCAUAUAUAUUUUGCGAUCAUCUCCAAAAGCAAUUUGGCUAUAGUCGUCGACGAAAUCAGCAUAAAAAGCCAGAAGUUCGCCUUUUGGGUAUUUCGGAUAUCGCCUGUAAGUAAUGUUAGUAUUUUUGCACACAAAAGUAGUGGUCCAUUAUAACUGCUGUCUUAAAUUCUAACUUCAUGCAAGAUUUCGUGUCCUUUGGUUUCUAUGUGUGACCUUUAUAACAUUUGCAAAAUCAGGAACAUUUUGAGUUGCUGGCCCAUUUCAACCCCUAAAUAUAUUGCGGACAUAUUUGAAAACAAUAGGCUUAGCCCUUCUGAGCCUAACCCUACCUUUGUCAAAAAUUUCGUGAGGAUCGAAUGAUAAUUGCAAUCUGUGUAUACAUAAUAACCCGAUGACCAUCAAAAUUGGAAGGCAUCUGCCCAGCCCAAAGCUCUAGCCCCAUGCUAACUUUUGCUUCGAUUGGUCUAUAAUUGUGACCUGUAGAGCAACUGCAAAAUUUUUGCAUCAUUUUUCAGUUUUUGGUCCAUUUCAACCCCUUAAUAUUGUGCGAUCAUCUCCAAAAGAAAUAGGGUUCUAUUCUGAUUAACCCCACCUACAUUUUAAAUUUCGUGAAGAUCGGGCUAUAAUUGCGACCUGUAGAGUGAUUACCAAUUAACAUGGACAGACGGACGGACGGACAUACAUAGCUAGAUCGACUCAGCUCGGCGAGAUAGGAAGAUCCAUAUAUACUUUCCUAUGUGGGAAAUCAAUAUUUCGUGGUGUUACAUAAUUUUUGGCCCAAUCAAACUUAUAAUACCCCCAACACAAAGUGUUGUAGGGUAUAAAAAGGAAAUUGACAAUAAAAUAAAAAUAUGAGCAAUAAAAGGAAGAUAGAUAUGAUGUGUUCCGCGGAAUCUUUUAAACCUGUUGCUAAUGGCAUUUGUCUAAAAAUGCUGGAAAAAGUCUUUUACUUUCUUAUUACAUAUUAAUAUUUACUUUUUUCAUAUUUUGUAAAGUUGUUCUCCAAAAACAAUUAGUCUUGCUAAUUCCAAAACAAUAUUUUCAAAUUAAAAUCACAAAAAGAAAUUAAUAAACAAUAGAAAACAUCUGAUUGAAUGACGAUGAAUGAGAAGAAGAAGAGUUGCAAGAGAUUGCAAGAAGAAAUUUGUCCAGCAAGAAUUUGCAAACUCUCACUGAAAGAACUGUCAAAAUUUCUCUCUCCAACCGCUCUCUUUUGCAGAACUUUCGGGUUAACAGACGACUUCCAGUAACAAUUUGUAACAAUUGUUACAAAUUUUAGGGUAACCAUACACACCUAUAGUGAAUGAUGGCAACCCCAAAAAAAAAUGUCAAUUGACGUUUGCUGACAUUUCAUAAUCCUCGAUCUCUUCCUUUUGUGACUAGCUUUGAGUAAACAAGUAUUCUUUAACAUUAAAAUUGUAAUUUUUUAUUUUUAAGACAUAAAUAUUAUUCAAUAAAUGAAUUCCAAAUAAUAAAAGUUAUGUUAAUUGGCGACGAGGAUGAAACAUCGACUGGAGUACAAAGUGAAACAGAGGAAAGUAAGAUGGCUUCAAAAUACGGCGAUUUGACAACAGUUUAAUGUGGCUGCGGGAAAUUGGCAGAUUUAUCUAAAACAGAUGAUUUUUUUUUCAUGGCAAAUGGUAUAGCGGACGAGGAUGCAAAAAAGGCGAUAUUUUUAUCUUCUUGUGGGCCAGAUACCUACGUACUGUUGAAAUCCAUAGCCACUCCAGAUAACGUUAUGGACAAAACAUUCUCGUUUAAAAGAGCCGUGGAAUUGUUAUCCAAACAUUUUUGCCCGCCACCAAACCAGAUUAUACAGCAUUUCCAGUUUUACCGCAGAGACCAGAAAGAGGGAGAGACGGUUCCCGAAUUUUUGACCGCUUUAAGAAAUUUGGGCCAAUAUUGUGAAUUCACAGAUUUGGGUGUAAUGCUGCGUGACGGAUUGGUGUGUGGAUUAAGAGAUAGAUGAGAGUCUACAGAAAUGAUUGUUGUCAAAUGAUAAACUAACACUCAAAAUUGCACAGGAAGAAGCCAUUGCCAGUGAAGAGGCCCAGACGAAUUUAGCCGCAUUGAAAACACCAGUUAACCAGCAAAAGAUAAACAGAAUUGGUAACGGCAGAGAAAAAAAGAGUAAAGCAAAAAAUCAAUCCAGAGAUUGUUUUAGAUAUGGGGGUACACAUUCGCCAGACCAGUGCCGGUUUAAAGAAGAUUACCACUUCUGCAAAGAACGUGGAGAUAUUGAAAAGGCGUGUAUCACCAAAGCCAGGUCGUCCAGGAAAAAACUCUGGAGGAGCAAUGGGUAAGAAUAAUGUUAACCAGAUCAAAAUACCCCCGAAUGACGGAAACCAGGACUACAUUUUGUCAAUGAGUGGAGUAAAUGGCAUAUCGAUCCGCAGAGAAGUGAAAAUUUGUGAAAAAUCUAUUGAGGUGGAUAUUGACUCUGGUGCCAGUCACUCAAUUAUGAGUGAAGAUAAAUUUUAUAAGAAGUUCCGUAACCUAAAGUUACAUCCCAGUAAAACACAUCUAAAAGCAUGGGGCACAGAAAAUAAUUGCCAAAUUUGUGGCGAAGAACGUGUUCCAGUUUCUUUGGGUGCUAUUAACUGGAAGCUGAUACUGGUACGUGGAAGAGGUCCAUCCUUAAUUGAAAGAAAUUGGUUUGAGUAAUUGGGAAUUUCCAUAAUUAGUCCAGUGCACAGCAUCGAAGGUGGGUUACCAGAAGAGGUAACUGAAUUCAACACAAUAUUCGAUUCAAUGGAGGAGGAUGGUGUGCUACGUUCAUUGACGAAUAGCGUAUGGGCUACUCCAAUAGUUCCAGUUUUAAAACCAGAUAAUACCAUACGCAUUUUUGGUGAUUAUUAAUGUACGGUAAACCAGAUGAUUUGUAAAGAAACAUCCCCUGCCAACCAACAUGGAAGUGCUAACAACUUUAGCGAAUUGUAAAUGGUUUUUCAGAUUGGGUUUAGAUAGAGCGUACACUCAGGUGAAAGUAGGCGAUGAAUCAGCAAAAAUUUUAACCAUUAACACACAUCGUGGAUUGUUUGAGGUUACCAGAUUACCGUUCGGUAUAUCCACAGCACCAAGUAUUUUUCAACGUAUGAUGGAAGGCCUGUUAAGUGGCAUAGAUGGCGUUGUGGUAUAUCUUGAUGAUAUUUUGAUUGGUGGUAAGACGGUUCAGGAGAUGUGGGACCGAACAAAAGUUGUUCUUCGACGCAUACAAGAUACCGGUUUAAAAUUAAAAAGAAGUAAAUGUGUUUUUUCUGUUCAAGAGCUAUGCCUUUUGGAGUUCAAGGUAAAUCGAGAUGGUGUGAAACCAACAGAUGAAAAGAUCAGGGCAAUUUAUCAAGCACCUGAACCAACCGACAAACAACAACUGCAAUCAUUCCUGGGAUUAGUAACAUUUUACGAACGAUUUUUCCGCAACAAGUUAAAUGUGUUGGAGCCGCAUUAUCGUCUUUUGCAAAAGGAUGCCAGCAAGUUUUGAUCAGGUAAAGAAAAAUCUUCAAUCUGAAAAUCUUUUGGUUCGUUAUUCCGCAGAAUUGCCAUUGAUUUUGAGUGGUGAUGCUUCACCAUACGGAGUGGGGCAGUCUUAGCUCACGUCAUACCAGUCUUAGCUCACGUCAUGCCAAUUGCUUUUGGGUGCCGGACUCUCCAAUCAGCUGAAAAGAACUCUACCCAGUUAGACAAGAAGGCACUUGCGAUUAUUUUUGGCUAGAAGAAGUUUAACCAGUUUUUGAGUUGAAGAGAAUUUACGAUCUUAACUGAUCACAAACCGUUGUUGGGACUGUUUAAUCCAGUGAAACCCAUAUCUGAGCAUAUGUCACCUAGGAUGUUGAGAUGGUGGUUGAUGCUAGGGGCAUACCAAUACAACAUAAAAUAUAGAGAAGGGAAGAAAAACAAAAAUGCAGAUGCAUUAAGCAGGCUACCAUUUAAAGAAGUAGGUGGAACAAUUCCGAAUAUUCCUGAAAUUUUAUAUUGUACAGAAGGCAAAGACCAGUUCUUAAUAAUGUUUGCCAUUGUUUGCUUUUGGGUACAAGAGUAAUAAUACCCACAAUUUUCGUUCCCGUAUUUUGAAUAUGUUGCAUGAAGUACACCAAGGUAUGUCAGCCAUGAAAGCUACCGCCAGAAGUUAUUUUUGGUGGCCAGGUCUCAAUAAGGACAUCGGGAUGACGGCGAAAAAAUGUGAGAAAUGUUCCCAACAAAAUAAACACCCUCCAGCGGCAGAAUCAAAACCAUUUAGACCGUGGUCGAGAGGCAUGCGGCGAAUUGCUUCGCUCCUCUUUUCAGCCUAACCUAACCUACAUGCAGGUCCAGUUUUACAAUAAGAUAUUACACAUUUAUAAUGCCGACGUUACCAAGAUGUGCCGACAGAUUUUGUUGGACCCUAGUCCAACACAGUUUCACGAAUAUUAUUUAGAAAAUUUUCGUGAAAUCCUAUUGAGGAUUAUGAGUGGUUUACGGUAACAUUUGGGGUUAAUUUAGCACGCUUCCUAGCAUUUAGAACUCUCAUUCAAUUUGCAGAAGAUACAAAAGACACAUCCACUAGCACCGAAAAUAAUUUUUAUGACAUUAUUUUCAAUCGAAGAUACCAUAAAGUCUCACAAGAAGUUAGUAGCCGCUAUGAAAAUUGCCAAAUUGUUGUAACUGCCAAACUAGUCAAGGCUUGAUAAGAUUAACUGUUUUUUUUGUUUGAAAAUAAUUUUUUUUUUAAUUUUUACACGGUUUUUGUAAUUGAGGCGCAAAGUAAUGAAUAAUACUGAAAAAAUCCGCCGGAGGAAAUUUAGAGAUGCUUUGGGCCCCUUGUGCUACCACAGUGCCGUGAGAAUAUUUUAAUAAUAAAUACCUGUGCUUACUCUUAAAUAAUAAAAACGUUAUAACAUUUCAAAAUAUUUACAUUUUUGCACAGAAUGUCUUUUUGAGUUUUUUUGUUUUAUUUUGUGCUUCAAUUUAUCAUUCGUAAUGCCAGAUUGUUUAGUUUUCAUUAUGAAUAACGUUUGUUGGAAGAAAAAACUGGGUUUCAAGAAAAAAAUGACGUGGCAAAACUUUGUUAACAAUUGGCAAUUGGGUUAAUUUUUUUAAUUAUAUAAAUAAAAAGAAAAAAAUGUAAAUUUAAAUGUGUAUUUAUUUACCUUGAAACUUUCAAAUACUUGAUAUCCGCGCUAUCAGCCAAAGUGAUUUUAAUUCGCACUUACAAAACAAAUACAAUUUCACUUGCAAAAUCCAAAGUGGUUUCAAACCAAAAAAAAUGCGAUUUUCGCUUUCUAAGUACGGAAUUAAAUUCACUUUGGGUGAUAGCGCGCAUAUUAUAUUACACUACAAACAAACAAUACAUAAUUGCGAAAUUUUUUCAUCCCGUUGCAACUAGUUAUUGAUGGUAAUUGUCAAUUUGUAAGCAUUUUCCCUCGCAGUACAUUUUUUAAACGACUCUACGUUUUGAACAAACAUAGUAUGUUUUAUAUGUCUCAAUGUUAGAAUUUAUUCAGUCCAUUGCAUUUAUAACAAAUGCCGAUAGAAAUAAACUGUUUAGCAUCACGUCUGGUAUAUUCAAAAAAUUUAAUAGCUUUUAGGUGAGUGUACAUAACUAGCUUGGCCUCAAAGGAGAGUGUCACAGUUCGCCAGAUUUAGACAUUGGGUCAUCCGGUCUGAUAAAUGACUUGACUUAGCAACCCGGCAUUUCUCCUAGCUCAGACUAUCUCCCGAUAAUCGUCUCCAUCAGUAGAUCGCCCGAUUUCAUAACCUCUGAACGCCGCACUUUCCUUAACCAUUGGAAAGCCCAUGACUCAAUAAGAAAGAUUGCUCAACUUCAAAAAAGAAUACCCAUCUGUAAUUAUUUGUCACAUUUUCUGUAAUUUUCCUUGUCACAUUUCUCUACAUAAAAACAGGUUCCCAUCUCUGAUUUGUGUAUGUACAAUGGAUUUAUAAAUACAAAUUUUGACAUUGAGAUGUUGUCAAAUGAAUAAUUUUUGAAAAAAUUGUAAACAUAUGCUUGCAUGACUUUACCUCCUUGUUUCUACGAUGCUCAACUUCAAAGAAACUAAAAAAAUGAACUUUGUGCUGGAGCCUUAUAGUGUCAAAAUGACUUUUAAAUAUGCAAUAGAUGGUUUGGUUUAUUUUCCAUUUUUCACAAAAUUCUUAUAUUGGGAAACCCGUGAAACAAAAAUGGAAUUUUGGGGUUAUUCCACAAGAUUGGAUCUAAAUAGUAGGACAAUAUUGCUUUAUCCCAAUAUUGUACAAUGUCCUGCCCAAUUACAUCGAAAUUAUGCAUUUAUUUUGCAACCGAAUUUGAAAUAAUUUCAAAUUAACGGAAAUGAUAUUUAGGGACAUCGCCGCUCGCUAUAUACCUGCUGGUCGAAUGCCCGAAGUAAGACCAAAUUUAUUGAGCUCCGGCGUACUAACCCUACUGAUCCCAGACAGUGGAAGUCCGCAGAUUGAUACAGGAACAUGAUAGGACAGCAGUCGCAUUUAACGACGUAACGGUGACUGAUCCGAAGAGGUUCGCUGGCCAUUUUAAACGCCAAUUUGUCGAGCAGCCCGAGAGUGAUAGAGCGAGGCUAGGAGUACUGCAGCGUAUAAGAGCUCUUUCCGCCGAGGAUAUACCUGAAUAGUUUACGAUGGGUGAUGUUGCGAAUGUCUUCCGAAACGCUAAGUCAUCUAAAGUCAUGUUGAAGCAACUGGAUACACCGGGAGUUGAGUAUAUUGAGUGAUAAAUUGAAAAGUAGGAACAAGGUCCUUAAGACGCUAGCCGGCAAGGUCCUCCGGGGUUCGGAUAAGGAAACCUUGUUGACCUUUUAUAAAGCGAUAUGUCGUUCUGUUGUUAGCUAUGCUGCUGCAGUGUGGUCCGAGUGCAAUGCAGCGGUAAAGUAUUCAGACCUGCCAGAAUGCCGCCCUGAGAACUGCAACAGGGUUCCUCCUCAUGACUCCUGUGGACCAUUUACAUGAGGAGACGAAGUGUUUUCGUUGCAGUACCUGCUUGGGUGUUAUCGUGGGUCAUACUAACCAACAUAUAUGGGGCAGAACUCCCCAACCAGGCGUGUCAGCAAGGACCAGCAUGAGUCUUUCCCUAUUGGAUCUGAUAUUUGCAAAUGCUAGACAUUGUUUUCAUCAUCUUCCCCGUAUGCCCUGUAUAUGCUGUUAUCUGUACAGAUAAGCUUGUAGGCCCAGGUGACCCGUUACAUCCCAGUUACCCCACUAAUCUACUACUGAUGCGUAUGUUAGAACAAGUCUAACUACGCUUUUGAAUAUCCAGUGCGUCAUCCUUGAAUUAAAACUCGUCUGCAUAACAGACUGGUUCAAAUCCUUUGUUGGUUAAAUUCCGUAAAGACUGUUUAUGGAAGUGUAACAUAAGGUGUGUCUGCUUACUUUUCCUGCAGGAAUUGUCCAGCAACAUCUUUCUGAGAGAGUAAGGUAGUUUUAUUAUCUUUUGCAAGGAAAUUGCGAAAAGUAAACAGACAAGCUUCCUGCAAAACAAACCAAUUUGUCCCCCAUUAAAAGAAUUAAACGAAAGGAACCACCACCAAUUUCACAAGUUUUAUAAAUAACAAGUAAGCUAAGGAUAUAGUCGUGCGCGGCCGACUAUGUGAUACCCUACAACACUACAAUAUGUUAGAAGCCCCCUCAUAUCCAAAUCCAUUUUGGAAGAUUUUUUCAAUAUUUACGCACUCCGUCGUGCUGUUAGUUUUUGUGGUCCAUUUUACGGCUAAAUAUAAUCCAAUGGUCAUCCAAAAUGCUAGAAUUCUUCACUGUGCUUAACUAUCUUCUCAGGCGUGCCGAUUGGCUUCAAUUGUGUUAUCAUGAUUUUUUUCUGUUUUUGUUUCAUUUGAACCCAUAUAUAUUUUGCGAUCAUCUCCAAAAGCAAUUUGGCUAUAGUCGUCGACGAAAUCAGCAUAAAAAGCCAGAAGUUCGCCUUUUGGGUAUUUCGGAUAUCGCCUGUAAGUAAUGUUAGUAUUUUUGCACACAAAAGUAGUGGUCCAUUAUAACUGCUGUCUUAAAUUCUAACUUCAUGCAAGAUUUCGUGUCCUUUGGUUUCUAUGUGUGACCUUUAUAACAUUUGCAAAAUCAGGAACAUUUUGAGUUGCUGGCCCAUUUCAACCCCUAAAUAUAUUGCGGACAUAUUUGAAAACAAUAGGCUUAGCCCUUCUGAGCCUAACCCUACCUUUGUCAAAAAUUUCGUGAGGAUCGAAUGAUAAUUGCAAUCUGUGUAUACAUAAUAACCCGAUGACCAUCAAAAUUGGAAGGCAUCUGCCCAGCCCAAAGCUCUAGCCCCAUGCUAACUUUUGCUUCGAUUGGUCUAUAAUUGUGACCUGUAGAGCAACUGCAAAAUUUUUGCAUCAUUUUUCAGUUUUUGGUCCAUUUCAACCCCUUAAUAUUGUGCGAUCAUCUCCAAAAGAAAUAGGGUUCUAUUCUGAUUAACCCCACCUACAUUUUAAAUUUCGUGAAGAUCGGGCUAUAAUUGCGACCUGUAGAGUGAUUACCAAUUAACAUGGACAGACGGACGGACGGACAUACAUAGCUAGAUCGACUCAGCUCGGCGAGAUAGGAAGAUCCAUAUAUACUUUCCUAUGUGGGAAAUCAAUAUUUCGUGGUGUUACAUAAUUUUUGGCCCAAUCAAACUUAUAAUACCCCCAACACAAAGUGUUGUAGGGUAUAAAAAGGAAAUUGACAAUAAAAUAAAAAUAUGAGCAAUAAAAGGAAGAUAGAUAUGAUGUGUUCCGCGGAAUCUUUUAAACCUGUUGCUAAUGGCAUUUGUCUAAAAAUGCUGGAAAAAGUCUUUUACUUUCUUAUUACAUAUUAAUAUUUACUUUUUUCAUAUUUUGUAAAGUUGUUCUCCAAAAACAAUUAGUCUUGCUAAUUCCAAAACAAUAUUUUCAAAUUAAAAUCACAAAAAGAAAUUAAUAAACAAUAGAAAACAUCUGAUUGAAUGACGAUGAAUGAGAAGAAGAAGAGUUGCAAGAGAUUGCAAGAAGAAAUUUGUCCAGCAAGAAUUUGCAAACUCUCACUGAAAGAACUGUCAAAAUUUCUCUCUCCAACCGCUCUCUUUUGCAGAACUUUCGGGUUAACAGACGACUUCCAGUAACAAUUUGUAACAAUUGUUACAAAUUUUAGGGUAACCAUACACACCUAUAGUGAAUGAUGGCAACCCCAAAAAAAAAUGUCAAUUGACGUUUGCUGACAUUUCAUAAUCCUCGAUCUCUUCCUUUUGUGACUAGCUUUGAGUAAACAAGUAUUCUUUAACAUUAAAAUUGUAAUUUUUUAUUUUUAAGACAUAAAUAUUAUUCAAUAAAUGAAUUCCAAAUAAUAAAAGUUAUGUUAAUUGGCGACGAGGAUGAAACAUCGACUGGAGUACAAAGUGAAACAGAGGAAAGUAAGAUGGCUUCAAAAUACGGCGAUUUGACAACAGUUUAAUGUGGCUGCGGGAAAUUGGCAGAUUUAUCUAAAACAGAUGAUUUUUUUUUCAUGGCAAAUGGUAUAGCGGACGAGGAUGCAAAAAAGGCGAUAUUUUUAUCUUCUUGUGGGCCAGAUACCUACGUACUGUUGAAAUCCAUAGCCACUCCAGAUAACGUUAUGGACAAAACAUUCUCGUUUAAAAGAGCCGUGGAAUUGUUAUCCAAACAUUUUUGCCCGCCACCAAACCAGAUUAUACAGCAUUUCCAGUUUUACCGCAGAGACCAGAAAGAGGGAGAGACGGUUCCCGAAUUUUUGACCGCUUUAAGAAAUUUGGGCCAAUAUUGUGAAUUCACAGAUUUGGGUGUAAUGCUGCGUGACGGAUUGGUGUGUGGAUUAAGAGAUAGAUGAGAGUCUACAGAAAUGAUUGUUGUCAAAUGAUAAACUAACACUCAAAAUUGCACAGGAAGAAGCCAUUGCCAGUGAAGAGGCCCAGACGAAUUUAGCCGCAUUGAAAACACCAGUUAACCAGCAAAAGAUAAACAGAAUUGGUAACGGCAGAGAAAAAAAGAGUAAAGCAAAAAAUCAAUCCAGAGAUUGUUUUAGAUAUGGGGGUACACAUUCGCCAGACCAGUGCCGGUUUAAAGAAGAUUACCACUUCUGCAAAGAACGUGGAGAUAUUGAAAAGGCGUGUAUCACCAAAGCCAGGUCGUCCAGGAAAAAACUCUGGAGGAGCAAUGGGUAAGAAUAAUGUUAACCAGAUCAAAAUACCCCCGAAUGACGGAAACCUGGACUACAUUUUGUCAAUGAGUGGAGUAAAUGGCAUAUCGAUCCGCAGAGAAGUGAAAAUUUGUGAAAAAUCUAUUGAGGUGGAUAUUGGCUCUGGUGCCAGUCACUCAAUUAUGAGUGAAGAUAAAUUUUAUAAGAAGUUCCGUAACCUAAAGUUACAUCCCAGUAAAACACAUCUAAAAGCAUGGGGCACAGAAAAUAAUUGCCAAAUUUGUGGCGAAGAACGUGUUCCAGUUUCUUUGGGUGCUAUUAACUGGAAGCUGAUACUGUCCAGUGCACAGCAUCGAAGGUGGGUUACCAGAAGAGGUAACUGAAUUCAACACAAUAUUCGAUUCAAUGGAGGAGGAUGGUGUGCUACGUUCAUUGACGAAUAGCGUAUGGGCUACUCCAAUAGUUCCAGUUUUAAAACCAGAUAAUACCAUACGCAUUUUUGGUGAUUAUUAAUGUACGGUAAACCAGAUGAUUUGUAAAGAAACAUCCCCUGCCAACCAACAUGGAAGUGCUAACAACUUUAGCGAAUUGUAAAUGGUUUUUCAGAUUGGGUUUAGAUAGAGCGUACACUCAGGUGAAAGUAGGCGAUGAAUCAGCAAAAAUUUUAACCAUUAACACACAUCGUGGAUUGUUUGAGGUUACCAGAUUACCGUUCGGUAUAUCCACAGCACCAAGUAUUUUUCAACGUAUGAUGGAAGGCCUGUUAAGUGGCAUAGAUGGCGUUGUGGUAUAUCUUGAUGAUAUUUUGAUUGGUGGUAAGACGGUUCAGGAGAUGUGGGACCGAACAAAAGUUGUUCUUCGACGCAUACAAGAUACCGGUUUAAAAUUAAAAAGAAGUAAAUGUGUUUUUUCUGUUCAAGAGCUAUGCCUUUUGGAGUUCAAGGUAAAUCGAGAUGGUGUGAAACCAACAGAUGAAAAGAUCAGGGCAAUUUAUCAAGCACCUGAACCAACCGACAAACAACAACUGCAAUCAUUCCUGGGAUUAGUAACAUUUUACGAACGAUUUUUCCGCAACAAGUUAAAUGUGUUGGAGCCGCAUUAUCGUCUUUUGCAAAAGGAUGCCAGCAAGUUUUGAUCAGGUAAAGAAAAAUCUUCAAUCUGAAAAUCUUUUGGUUCGUUAUUCCGCAGAAUUGCCAUUGAUUUUGAGUGGUGAUGCUUCACCAUACGGAGUGGGGCAGUCUUAGCUCACGUCAUACCAGUCUUAGCUCACGUCAUGCCAAUUGCUUUUGGGUGCCGGACUCUCCAAUCAGCUGAAAAGAACUCUACCCAGUUAGACAAGAAGGCACUUGCGAUUAUUUUUGGCUAGAAGAAGUUUAACCAGUUUUUGAGUUGAAGAGAAUUUACGAUCUUAACUGAUCACAAACCGUUGUUGGGACUGUUUAAUCCAGUGAAACCCAUAUCUGAGCAUAUGUCACCUAGGAUGUUGAGAUGGUGGUUGAUGCUAGGGGCAUACCAAUACAACAUAAAAUAUAGAGAAGGGAAGAAAAGCAAAAAUGCAGAUGCAUUAAGCAGGCUACCAUUUAAAGAAGUAGGUGGAACAAUUCCGAAUAUUCCUGAAAUUUUAUAUUGUACAGAAGGCAAAGACCAGUUCUUAAUAAUGUUUGCCAUUGUUUGCUUUUGGGUACAAGAGUAAUAAUACCCACAAUUUUCGUUCCCGUAUUUUGAAUAUGUUGCAUGAAGUACACCAAGGUAUGUCAGCCAUGAAAGCUACCGCCAGAAGUUAUUUUUGGUGGCCAGGUCUCAAUAAGGACAUCGGGAUGACGGCGAAAAAAUGUGAGAAAUGUUCCCAACAAAAUAAACACCCUCCAGCGGCAGAACCAAAACCAUUUAGACCGUGGUCGAGAUUACAUUUUUGGGAACCAAUAUUCUUAUCAUCUUCGACUCAUAUAGCAAGUGGGUAGAAGUUAAAAUAACCAAAGACACCAGUUCUAUAAAAACAAUUGAACUAAUGAGAGAUGUAUUGGCAUCACAUGGGAUACCAGGCACCAUUGUAUCCGAUAAUGAACGAAAUUUUGUGUCAGGCGAGUUUGAGUCAUUUUUGUCAUCAAAUGACAUGAUACAUACGAACAGCACCGUAUCAUCCAUCAUCAAACGGCCAGGCGGAAAGGUUCGUACAAACAAUAAAAUCACUUUUAAAGAAAAUGCCACAAGCAAACAUCAAGAAGAGUUUAGAAAACAUACUUAUACGGUUAUGAACAACAUCCAAUCCAACAAAUGGAGAAAGCCCAGCAGAAAUCUUGAUGGGGAGGAAGCUAAGAACAAUUUUUGAUCAAAUACACCCGAGCAACAACAAAGCUGGGGACAAUUUGGCAAUAGAAGUAGAAGUGGAAUCGGUGAAUAGGAACAGAAGUUUCAAUUCUGGAGAUUUGGUAUGGACACGGAAUUUUGGCAGAGGUAAAAAAUGGCUGCCAGGUACUGUUAGAAACACAGGGGCUAGAAAUUAUGAAGUCGAUGUAGGAGGAGAUUUACAAUCUAGACACGUAGACCAGCUGCGAUCUCGAGUUAUCAGUCCAACAACAGCACCCCAUGAACAAAACACUACACUGCCGAUAGAUACGCACAAAACAUGGAUUUUAACCGCGAAGAAGAUAAAAAGCCAACAAACACAACUGCUAAUGACAGCACACCUGGUUCAACAAACAAUGAAGUAGCCAGGCAGAAACCUGAUCGAGACGUCACAACAAGAAGUCGACCGCAGAGGCGUAGAAAUCUUCCAUCGAGGUUAAAGGACUAUCUAAUGGGGGAGAAACUGUAAUAUAGUGAAUGAUGGUAACCCUAAAAAAAUUCAAUUGACGUUUGCUGACAUUUCAUAAUCCUCGAUCUCUUCAUUUUGUGACUGGCUUUGAGUAAACAAGUAUUCUUUAACAUUAAAUUGUAAUUUCUAUUUUUUAAGACAUAACUAUUAUUCAAUAAAUGAAUUCCAAAUAAUAAAA